Molecule: long non-coding RNA, 441 nt
Organism: Monodelphis domestica (gray short-tailed opossum)
Lineage: Eukaryota; Metazoa; Chordata; Mammalia; Didelphimorphia; Didelphidae
Source: Ensembl
ACCUGAGGAGACUGAAACUUAGAACCAUUGAAGGGAAGAAACAUGAUCCAACUGAAAGAGCAUCAUCACUGGAUGGAGAAGAAUUCAGAUGAAGAGACAGACAAAGAGAAGCAAAGCAACUUGCCCAGGAGUACAUAACACUUGUGUGUGAAGAUUUAAGUGGAAAAGUCGGUGCACAGAGACAGUCCCACUCUCUCGGUGUUGGAAGCCUGGGUCCAGUGGCACAAAAAGUCGUUACACCUGGAGACUUCCUCAGCUGCAUUGGAUGGCCAUGUUGUCUUUUGUGCUCCAACACGCCCUAAGCACUCCACAGUGCCUUGCUGCAUCGCCAUCUCAGCCGUUGAACCUUCUUGUUGGUUUCUUCCGCCUGUUCUGCUGAAACAGUCUUCACAUGCUGGGGGAGGAGAAAAGGGAAAGUUUCCCAUAAUAAUCAGUAAUUGA